AGUGAACGCUGGCGGUAGGCCUAACACAUGCAAGUCGAACGGCAGCACAGUAAGAGCUUGCUCUAACGGGGGGCGAGUGGCGGACGGGUGGGGAAUACAUCGGAAUCUACUUUUUCGGGGGGGAUAAGGUAGGGAAACUUACGCUAAUACCGAAUACGACCUACGGGGGAAAGCAGGGGAUCUUCGGACCUGGCGCGAUUGAAGGAGCCGAUGUGGUAUUAGCUAGUGGGGGGGGUAAGGGCCCACCAAGGCGAGGAUCCGCGGGUGGUCGGGGAGGAUGACCACCCACACUGGACUGGAGCCACGGUCCAGACCCCUACGGGAGCAGGCAGUGGGGAAUGUUGGACAAGGGGCGCAGGCCUGGUCCCGCCAUCCCGCGGGGGUAAAGAAGGCCUUCGGUUUUUAAAGCCCUUUUGUGGGGAAAAAAAAGCAGCAGUUUAAUCCCCCGCUGUUCUGAGGGUACCAAAAAAAUAAGCCCCGGCUAACUUCGUC
RNAcentral lists this ribosomal RNA (492 nucleotides) under uncultured bacterium. RNAcentral's name for it is "partial 16S ribosomal RNA". It matches the Rfam family "Bacterial small subunit ribosomal RNA", at positions 30 to 507 of the family's 1533-position model. The record is from RNAcentral.